GCAAAGAGUAAGAGAGGAUAUAAUCAUGUCUGAUCGUAUGCAGUCGUCGAAAACAAAUCAAUGUUCUCACAUAUCAAAUAGUAAUGCUUCUGAAAUCAAAGAACAAGAUGAAGACAAGGAGAACAUUGAUUUGAAACACUAUAGUAAUAGAAAUCCCCUAACUACAUCCACUGACAAUAGCCGUUCAUUUGAUGCAAGUAGACAGCUGAAAAAGUCUUGGGAGAUCCGAGCAUUUUUGACUACUAUUAUAAUUGCUUUCCAAACUAUAAUAUUAACAGGGCCUUUUGUAGCUUCGUUUUGGAUAGAGGUGUUCUCGAAUGCACCAUUAACAUUUCAGGUUCGACUUCUGCUAUUUAUUCCAAAUUUGAUCAAUUCCAUAUCCAACC
Molecule: long non-coding RNA, 386 nt
Filed under: Mytilus galloprovincialis (Mediterranean mussel)
Lineage: Eukaryota; Metazoa; Mollusca; Bivalvia; Mytilida; Mytilidae
Source: RNAcentral